AAGGAGUCAUAUCAUGCUUUUCAUUCUAAAAAAUAUUAGACUUUAAUGUCUCAGUAAGGUCUCUGUAAAUUUUCAACCCAUAAAACCCUUUAGAUCGUCCACACUGCCCCUGUCAAUGUGUGGUUUUCACUCUCCAUCAGCAAACGCUGUGUUUUCUGGGCGUGUCGCAAGCGAAGCUGCUCACCACACCUCUGUGCGGAAGUGCAUACCUUUUUUUUGUUGUUGUUUUUUUUUUUAAAUUGGCUCCAUGGAUACGAGCCACCGCACGGUUAGGAUACAAUAGGUGGCAGUAGUGCGACAUUGAGAACGCAAUCCACCGCCAUCCUCCACAGAAGAAGACGACCCACUACAGAACUGCACGACAUUAGUCAGCUGGUUCGUAGCUUAGUAGAACCAUACGUCUACGAUCCCGAAUCUGACCCUGAAGCUGAAGAGGAGGCUGUUGAAGUCACCACAUUUCGGCUGAUGCAAGAUGUGUCUCAUUGUUGUUACAGGUAUCUAGUCUACAGAGGCUAGUGAGCUGGUGCUGAGGAUUCCUGGGGUGAAGAAUCUGAGUUGCCAUCUCUUCAUGCUUGGGUUGUAGAAGAAGGCAGUUUCCUGAUGGAUAAAACACUAAAACACUCAUAGUAUGAUUGAUGUAGACCACCUGUAGAAUAACUCCUUUACCAUUUGAGUAAAAAUGUGUUUUUUGUGAGUGCAACACUCAUUAAGAAUUUUUUUUAACUUUAUUUAUAUAUAAUUUAUAUGCGUUUUAUUUAUGGCCGCUUCAACUUUAUAGCUUACCAUAUUAGAAAGAGAAAAACAUGUAAUUUCAAUACUAUGAUUUUCCAAAUAAAAGUGUUUUCCCUUCAGAAACAGAGUUCAGUGAAAUACAUAAUAGUUAAAGCCAACUUUAUUGUAAACCAAAAAAAUACACCACUACUCCAAAGCUAGAACAAACUGUUACCUUCACACUCCAAUGUGCAAUGUAUAGGUUACUGAGUUAAUUAAGAAGUCUGGGGGUUUGAGGACGAAGGAGAAGCUUUUGCAGGGCCUUGCAGACGAAAUGCAUGAAAGUAGGGUAAACAGGGAGAUGUGGUGAUCCUUGUUCUCAUCACUAUUUGGAAGACUGAGCGGAAGCAGUCCUCUACCAGAUGGAAGCUGUGGCUGUCCUCACCAUCACCUCAUCAAAACAAAAGGUACUGCAAUCAGAAUUGUAGAUUAGUGAAAUGUUAAUUAUUAUGUAGGUCAAAACCUUCUCUAAUGUAAGAACACACAAUUCCAGACAAAAAAUUAAACCAAACAAGAGGACAGGCCUGUCUGUGCUAAAACAACAGAUAAACAGUUGUUACAAUUCAAAUAUAAAAUCUAAACAGUAUAUACCAAUUAAAAUCUUCUAUUACCUAUCUUACUGUUGGUACAUACAAACUUACAUACCUUUACUCCUGAGCUGGGCAGCAGAUGUCUGUGUACCAACAGUCUGCAGUGAUUUCUCUGUUUGACAGCCUCCUUGCAUGUGGGCAACUGAGAUUUGCCCUCCUACAGUAUAGAAAAGACUGUUACAUUUACUGUAAAUUGUAUUGGUCCUACAAAUAUAAUGGCUAUGGUACAAGCUAUCGGUAACUGACCAGAUAAGCAGCAAGUAUUGUAGAGAUGUGACUAAUUAGCAACUAAGCUUGAAACACAACACAGUAAUCAUUCCAACUAAUCAUGUUGUUGAUAGAACAAUGACAUAACCCCAAAUCACAAGUUGAUUUAGGCUGGACAGGACGGGUUAAUAACAAACACAACCGCGUUCUUCUGCAGGUUCUUUUUGUAGCGAUCGACCAGCUGUAGCUCUAAAGUGCAAAGGCCUAAAGGCAUGCUAACGGCUAAUGCAACACACAAACAGGAGCGGCAGCACGUCAACAGGACAAAAGCUCGAUCCACCGCUUCCUGCCUGUCGCCGAUCGAAGGCCCAUCGCUAUUAGCUGUUCCCCACACAGGUGUGUGAUUGCACCAACUCAGAGUAGCACAUUUGAAAGGGACAAAGGCUCAGUUGACUCACUGUGGCCGUUAGCGACGCUAGCGAUUAGCUUGUCUCACAUGUGGGUUACUGCAUUUUAAACAGACCCAACUAACAUAUUUAGAUAUCACAAGUAUCAAGCACAAACUUACUACAGCGAGCUAGAUCCACCGCUUCCUGUCUGUCGCCGCUGGAAGGGCGAUAACGAUCAGCUGUUCCCCGCAGGUGUAUGCGAUUACAGAAAAGGACAGACGCUAGACCCACCGCUCCCUGCCCGUAGCCGCUCGAUGCCGUUACGAUAAUCAUUAGCUUUUCUCCACACAGGUGUGUGGCUGCAGGAGCCCACAUGAGCACAUUUGAAGGGGACAAAGGCUCGGUCGACUGGCUGUAGCCGUUAGCAUAGCUAGCUAGUAACUUGACUCACACAUAGGUUACUAUAUUUUAAACGGACAAACUAACAUUUUAAAACAUUAUAAAUAACAAGCAUGUACUUACUUCAGUGAGUGGAUGACGGACUUUAGGAAUAGAUCCUUUUUUUCCAACAGGAGCCGUUAAACAAAUCCAGCAUUGUACGCACCCUCGUUUGAAAUGCACAUACGUAUAAAUGCUGAGGCAGUGUUUCUGGCACCGGUCCGUUAAAAAUAAAAGUGACCCACAAAUCCUCACUUGUUGAUCCCUUGUUAAAGUGAAUAGACUUUGGUGUUGGUUAGAACACCCAAGAACCGAACUAUUUCUAUGGGAGGACUUGGGCGCUGCCGUGCUGGUCUGUUCACGGUGAGUGAGAGGGGGGAAAUGGCGGAAGUCCAGUUUUGGUUCGGGAUCAUUGUGGGGGUGGUGGUUCAGGAUUUGCAAGGAGAACUUUCAACCAGUAUGACGAAACCCGGGGAACGGCCUCAGAGUAGGUCGUGGCUGUUUUCAUUGGAUGAGAAAAUUUACGUUUUCAAAAUGUGAAAAAAGCAGGAAAUGCAUUUCUACCGUGCUCAGUGUGUGUAUAUGUGACCCAUAGAGUCAUAGGGACGCUCCAAAAUGUCUAAAAAGUGGAUUUUGCAUGAUAUGGGCCCUUUAACCUGUCCACCAACACAGCAACAUCACACAUAUUUUGGAUUAGCUAAAUAAACCAUUAAAUAAACCAUAAAUCAAGAAAAGUAUAUAUAUUCCAUAUAUACUCCUCUUGUUAAAGCAAAGCUGUCCAUCACAAUAUGGCAAUCAGCAUAAGAUAUGCUGCUUGCUAAACUGCUGGACAGAACAAAAAAAAAAAAACUACU
This is a long non-coding RNA of Betta splendens (Siamese fighting fish), 3249 nucleotides long. RefSeq lists it as uncharacterized. Lineage: Eukaryota; Metazoa; Chordata; Actinopteri; Anabantiformes; Osphronemidae. The record is from RefSeq and is a predicted model, not a curated record. The transcript is spliced from 2 exons.